UGGGGAAUAUUGCACAAUGGGCGAAAGCCUGAUGCAGCGACGCCGCGUGCGGGAUGAAGGCCUUCGGGUUGUAAACCGCUUUUAAUUGGGAGCAAGCGAGAGUGAGUGUACCUUUUGAAUAAGCACCGGCUAACUACGUGCCAGCAGCCGCGGUAAUACGUAGGGUGCAAGCGUUAUCCGGAAUUAUUGGGCGUAAAGAGCU
This 202-nucleotide ribosomal RNA is filed under the name uncultured bacterium. Its description in RNAcentral is "partial 16S ribosomal RNA". It matches the Rfam family "Bacterial small subunit ribosomal RNA", at positions 355 to 569 of the family's 1533-position model. The record is from RNAcentral.